RNAcentral lists this long non-coding RNA (1416 nucleotides) under Vombatus ursinus (common wombat). RNAcentral's name for it is "lncRNA (ENSVURG00010019839.1)". The record is from RNAcentral. Lineage: Eukaryota; Metazoa; Chordata; Mammalia; Diprotodontia; Vombatidae.
UGAAUGGGAGAUAUCAUCUGCCCAACGAAGAGAGAGAAGCUCCUGCUUCAGAUGCGGGAGUCUACCCAGGGCCCUGGCUCCUCAUUCCUGGGAGCUAGGAUCCCAGCUGGUAAAGGGGCAGGGGUGGGUGUGGGGUGAUUGUGAGGGAGAAGGGAAAGGGCUAGGGGAGGCCUGAGGCUCUCAGCAGGGGGCAAGGUGAGUGUCAAGGGACAAAUGCCCUUUCAGCUGUCUGGAAGAAUGGAAAGGGGAAUUCAGCUGAACUCAACCAUUUCUCCUGGGACUGCCUGGGCUACAGUAGCUGGUGCUUCUUUAGACCAGGAAAGGUGAAGGCAGCACCCUCAAGGCUGGGACCCUGAGUAGCUGACUCCCAUCCGUUUUGUUCAAAGCCCCUCUCCCAAGGAGCAGACCAUCUUCAGAGAAUAUUUCCAUCUGGGUGUCUAUUCUCCCUAACCAGUCACACUGAAUUCUCUUUUCAAUAGGCCAGACACUUGCUAGCGAGUUUUCUAGAGAUCACUGAUUGAGAGUAGAAUGGGACCACAGAGGUCUUCAAGUACAAAUCUUUCAUUUGACAGGGAGGGAAACCGAGUCCCAGGUGGAGGUGUGUAUCCUUCCUAAAGUCAGAAGCAGUAAAAAGGGGAGGCAGGAUUUGACCAUAAACCCUCUGACCCCCAACCCUCUUUGAAUUCUAUCAGAACAAUAGUACCCUAGAAUGCCAGGCUUCCAGGGCCACUAACUGUCACCCUUUGGACCUACAGUCAUCAAGUGAAUCAAGAGUACUUCCUCUGGGCCGCUGCUGUGGGACAUGAAGGAGGGAGGAGGGGAGCUGGGAUUCGAGGACCUUGGAGAUGCCUGACCCCAUCUCUCUGGAAGAUUGCACUCUUCUGUGGGCUCACAGUCCACUCAGUCUGUGACUAUUGGUUGCCCUCCUCCAUCAUGCCCAAGAAAGCUUUCAUCUUGCAAGAUCACUUCAGCCUUGGCACCUUGGGCCCCAUCUUAUGAUUGGAGGGUGGAGACCUCUCCUCCCAGAAGCUCCAUUGAAGGAGGGCGCCCAGGAACCCAACAUCCAGUGAAAUGAAGUGACAAGGUACAGUCACACGGGAGAAACUUGGCCAACCCGAGGUCUGGGGGUGAGGGAGGCUGGGGAAAUGGUGCUCAGCUCAGUGGGGAGGAGGCUCCGAGCCAGGGCUCCAAACACUCCGAGGCAGUGUAACAGGACAAAAGCAGGCCUAGUCCAAUGGGUGGAAAGGGAGAGCCAAGUGGAUUGAGCCAUUUGUCCUGAGAUGGGGAUGCCCUUGGUGCUUUUUAGACCCCCCGCCCCCAAAGGUGAAGGCAGUGCCCCCGAGGCUGGGACACUUGAUUGGCUGGCUCCCAACCUUUUUUUUUUUUUUGUUUUUGUUUUUGGCAAUUGGGAUUAAG